GCUUUCCGCGUUCUCUCCUCUCCGCGGGCAGUGCUAGCUCGCCGCGGCCGCCUCCGGGGUCACGAUUCCGGGGUCGCCCCCAGCACCUCUCCGCCGGGUGCAUCAACCUGAAAAAGCCCCUUCUUCCUGGAAACCUUCCUUCUCCAGCGUUUCAACGGGGAAACUGAUCAGCUGACACUAGCCCCAGUCCUGCGAGGGGCCGGCGACCUUUGACCUUUCUCCAAAGGGGACCACCUGGCUUCAUGUGUGGAUUUCCACGGCUCUUGCCCAGAGGCGGGUACACUGUGUUCCAAUGUGCCACGGAACUCACGCAGUGGCACUUUGUGGCUUCAUGAAGGAAGAGGCAGGCCACGCAACACUUCCUCCCCAAGCCAAGGAGAAGUAUCACUUUUAGAGGCAGAGGAGCGGAAGGCAGUGGGUGUGACCAAAAGUGCCAUUUGUUAAAGCUUAUCUUCCUUGCCAGAUUUUAAAAACUAUUAUGGAAAAUCUCAAGCAUUCACAAAAGUAGAGAGAAAGAAAGGACUCUCAGAUUGUUGGAGCAGAACUACUGAGAAAAAGCAGGCAUUGUAUCUUCAGUUGUCAUCAAGUUCGCAAUCAG
Molecule: small RNA, 598 nt
Filed under: Pan troglodytes (chimpanzee)
Lineage: Eukaryota; Metazoa; Chordata; Mammalia; Primates; Hominidae
Description: processed transcript
Source: RNAcentral